GAAGUUCGCCAGGCAGUCGCUGCGCACCUCGUCGUGCGUGGAGGAAAGUCCGGGCCCCACAGGGCAGGAUGCCGGCUAACGGCCGGGCGCCGUGAGGCGACGGAAAGUGCAACAGAGAGCAGACCGCCGAUGGCCUUCGCAAGAGGGAUCAGGCAAGGGUGAAACGGUGGGGUAAGAGCCCACCGCAGGACUGGCAACAGGACUGGCACGGUAAACCCCAUCCGGGGCAAGGCCAAAUAGGGGAGCAUUGACGUGGCUCGCGUCGCUCCCGGGUAGGCUGCUAGAGCGUCACGGCAACGUGGCGCCCAGAGGAAUGACUGCCCGACGAGGCCGGCUUGCGCCGGCACCGUUCGACAGAACCCGGCUUAUCGGCGAACUUCCCAC
Molecule: RNase P RNA, 384 nt
Filed under: Thauera sp. 2A1
Lineage: Bacteria; Pseudomonadati; Pseudomonadota; Betaproteobacteria; Rhodocyclales; Zoogloeaceae
Description: RNase P RNA component class A
Rfam family: Bacterial RNase P class A
About the family: Ribonuclease P (RNase P) is a ubiquitous endoribonuclease, found in archaea, bacteria and eukarya as well as chloroplasts and mitochondria. Its best characterised activity is the generation of mature 5'-ends of tRNAs by cleaving the 5'-leader elements of precursor-tRNAs. Cellular RNase Ps are ribonucleoproteins.
Source: RNAcentral